GCACCGGCUCAGACAUAUACUGUCCUUGAGCGCAUACACUGCUCUCAUAAGGAAACAUGUCGUUGAUGAAGACCGUUGUUGGAUCGUUGGAUGUACUGCCCGUCUCAGAAAAUUGGCCAUGAUCAUGCGGACCCCCUGAUGAUGUUUCACCAUGAUAUAACCAACAUGUAUACUUCUCCCAAAACCCGUUACUCUUCAGGUGCUGUCAUACUUUGUCAAUCGUAAAUCAAUGCAUAUCGCUGCGACACUGACAUUUCGUGCACGGGCAAUAGAAAAUUGUAUUCCAGUUAGCAUUAGCCAGCGCAUAUUCCAGAAAAUUCAUAACUCCUUUACCAUAUCUUUUGUCCUAUUUUGGAAGCGAAAUCCAACUCUUAUCCAUAUCCUGAAAAUAUAACAAAAUAUAUAUGUAUAACUCUAGCUAAUUAUUAAUUAAAUUUCAUAUAUAAAAUCUCAAUUCAUUUAGUAUUCGACGUAGUACAACUAAUUAAUAACAAAUUAAUUAACACAUAUAUAUACUUCAUAAUUACAUAACAAUAUUAUAUAUCAACAUCAUCACAAAAUCAUCAUCAACUCAUAUCAUCAACAACUGCAUACCAUCAACACAAUAUUAUAAAUUAAUUAACAUAUAUAUAUAUAUCUACUACUUAUUAACAACAACUUCAUAUAUAUUAUCAAAUCAUCAACCAAAUUGAUCAACACAUAUAUAUAUAUACAUCUAAGGUACUCAAAAUUGAUCAACUCAAAUAAAACCCAAAAUCGACAUAUAUACACAUAUACGUUGUCACAUCCCGACCCUUAUAUUUUUACCUUAUUUACUAGCGUGAUUAUAAUAAGAAUUUUACCGUCUCGAUCAUUGAGUAAACAGUUUAAUUGGUCCCUAGAGGGGUUUCGGGGACGAUUAUGUGCGGAGGAUUAUUAGUAUGAGGGAAAUACGACGACGGUAAAAAUGGUAAAUUUUAGCUAGUAAAAGGUAAUUUUUAUUCGGGUAUUAUUUUUUCGGGGUGUUUUUAUUUUGGAAUUUGGGUUGAUAUAGGUUGGACCGGUUUGGGGUGUGAGGCCCAAACCCACUCUUUUUUUUCCUCCCGAUUUUCUCUCCUCACCCCUCCCGCACCCGAGCCUCCCGCUGCCCGGUUUUCCGGCCGUCCUCCCGCCGCCGUCCGGCCACCAACCGCCGCCCGCACCGGUCCCGUUCGGUCGACCUCCA
RNAcentral lists this long non-coding RNA (1204 nucleotides) under Fragaria vesca (wild strawberry). Its description in RNAcentral is "long non-coding RNA (FVES_LNC005040)". Lineage: Eukaryota; Viridiplantae; Streptophyta; Magnoliopsida; Rosales; Rosaceae. The record is from RNAcentral.